ACUCUUCCCAAGGUACUCCAGCGCCUGUAUUUUCAGAAUUAUCAAUACUGGUAUGCUGACAAUCCAAUGGUGCAUAGAGUAACAAUAGCUACUAACUUUAUUCAACAAAGAAAAAAAUAGCUACUAUUAAGUGCAACAGUAAAAAAUAAGACAGCAUAUCCAAGCCUAAGAAAAAAUUGGUCUCUAUUUUACAUGAAGAUAAUUGGUUACUGUCUCAGAACUGGGCAAUUAAUGAAUAAUCCUUCAAUUGGUUUUAUCCUUCAUGGUACAGAUAUAAAAAAUAAAAUAGGAAUGGACCAAAAAAACCGAAAAAAAAAAUUUCAGAAGGCAGUGAAGUUCGUUGAAAUCAAAAUGGAAAUAAAUUGCAAUCUCUUAAGUGCUUGGUUAAGAAUGAAAAUGUUCUCUUGCCACAGACUUCUCUGAUCUGAUCUUACAUAUACCCAGCAUGCAAAACCAUUUCAUAUCAAAAUAUUGAAAAACAAAAGGAAACGAUCUCAAAUUUUUGUAUUAAAACGUUGAAAAUUGAAACAAAAGGAACCUUCAUGUUUGCAGCGUAGGUUUCAACAUCGUCCAUGAUUAAAAAAAUAAUGUGCAGUGUGAGGUGCUUUGACUUUCUGAUAACAUUCAAGCAUUCAAAUUCUGUUUCCUAGCAGAAUAGAUAUAGAUGACAAAGAAGAAAGCCUAAAGUUCCUUGCAGUAGCUUUCAGCAUCAUGAGAUUAGUAUCAUCCAUCUAACACUUCCUACAUCAAAACUUGCACAGUUGUGUUAAGGCAAAAAUGCAUACAAACUUA
Molecule: unclassified non-coding RNA, 792 nt
Filed under: Hevea brasiliensis (rubber tree)
Lineage: Eukaryota; Viridiplantae; Streptophyta; Magnoliopsida; Malpighiales; Euphorbiaceae
Source: RNAcentral